AUUGAACGCUGGCGGCAGGCCUAACACAUGCAAGUCGAGCGGAUGAAGGGAGCUUGCUCCUGGAUUCAGCGGCGGACGGGAGGGGAAUGCAAAGGAAGGUGCCUGGUAGUGGGGGAUAACGUCCGGAAACGGGCACAAAUACCGCAUACGACCAGAGGUUGAAAGUGGGGGAUCUUCGGACCAAAGGCGAUCAGGUGAGCCUAGGUCGGAUUAGCUAGUUGGGGGGGUAAAGGCCUACCAAGGCGACGAUCCGUAACAGGUUUGAGAGGAUGAUCAGCCACACUGGAACUGAGACACGGUCCAGACUCCUACGGGAGGCAGCAGUAGGGAAUAUUCCACAAUGGGCGAAAGCCUGAUGCAGCCACGCCGCGUGUGUGAUGAAGGUUUUCGGAUUGUAAAGCACUUUUAGUUGGGAGGAAGGGCAGUAAGUUAAUAUCUUGCUGUUUUGACGUUACCAACAGAGUAAGCACCGGCUAACUUCGUG
Molecule: ribosomal RNA, 484 nt
Filed under: uncultured bacterium
Lineage: Bacteria
Description: partial 16S ribosomal RNA
Rfam family: Bacterial small subunit ribosomal RNA
Source: RNAcentral